GAAUUCACUAGUGAUUCAGGCCUAACACAUGCAAGUCGAACGGUAGAGGGGCAACCCUCGAGAGUGGCGAACGGGUGAGUAAUGCAUCGGAACGUGCCCAGUCGUGGGGGAUAACGUAGCGAAAGCUACGCUAAUACCGCAUACGACCUGAGGGUGAAAGCGGGGGACCGAAAGGCCUCGCGCGAUUGGAGCGGCCGAUGUCAGAUUAGGUAGUUGGUGGGGUAAAGGCCUACCAAGCCUGCGAUCUGUAGCUGGUCUGAGAGGACGACCAGCCACACUGGGACUGAGACACGGCCCAGACUCCUACGGGAGGCAGCAGUGGGGAAUUUUGGACAAUGGGCGAAAGCCUGAUCCAGCCAUGCCGCGUGCGGGAAGAAGGCCUUCGGGUUGUAAACCAAUUGUGUCAGGGAAGAAAUCUUCUGGGCUAAUACCCUGGGAGGAUGACGG
This 447-nucleotide ribosomal RNA is filed under the name uncultured bacterium. Its description in RNAcentral is "bacterial SSU rRNA". It matches the Rfam family "Bacterial small subunit ribosomal RNA", at positions 34 to 475 of the family's 1533-position model. The record is from RNAcentral.